UACGUAGGGUGCAAGCGUUGUCCGGAAUUAUUGGGCGUAAAGAGCUCGUAGGCGGUUUGUCGCGUCGACUGUGAAAACCCGCGGCUCAACCGUGUGGUCUGCAGUCGAUACGGGCAGGCUAGAGUUCGGUAGGGGAGACUGGAAUUCCUGGUGUAGCGGUGAAAUGCGCAGAUAUCAGGAGGAACACCGGUGGCGAAGGCGGGUCUCUGGGCCGAUACUGACGCUGAGGAGCGAAAGCGUGGGGAGCGAACAGG
RNAcentral lists this ribosomal RNA (254 nucleotides) under uncultured bacterium. RNAcentral describes it as "partial 16S ribosomal RNA". It matches the Rfam family "Bacterial small subunit ribosomal RNA", at positions 524 to 776 of the family's 1533-position model. The record is from RNAcentral.